GACGAACCGAGCGAACGUUGUUCGGAAUCACUGGGCUUAAAGGGCGCGUAGGCGGACUAUCAAGUCUGGGGUGAAAUCCCGCGGCUCAACCGUGGAACUGCCUCAGAUACUGACGGUCUCGAGGGAGGUAGGGGCAUGCGGAACUGUGGGUGGAGCGGUGAAAUGCGUUGAUAUCUACAGGAACUCCGGUGGCGAAAGCGGCGUGCUGGACCUCUUCUGACGCUGAGGCGCGAAAGCUAGGGGAGCAAACGGG
Molecule: ribosomal RNA, 253 nt
Filed under: uncultured bacterium
Lineage: Bacteria
Description: partial 16S ribosomal RNA
Rfam family: Bacterial small subunit ribosomal RNA
Source: RNAcentral